RNAcentral lists this ribosomal RNA (383 nucleotides) under uncultured bacterium. RNAcentral's name for it is "bacterial SSU rRNA". It matches the Rfam family "Bacterial small subunit ribosomal RNA", at positions 28 to 414 of the family's 1533-position model. The record is from RNAcentral.
GACGAACGCUGGCGGCGUGCUUAACACAUGCAAGUCGAGCGGUAAGGCCCUUUCGGGGGUACACGAGCGGCGAACGGGUGAGUAACACGUGGGUGACCUGCCUUUAGCUCUGGGAUAAGCCUGGGAAACCGGGUCUAAUACCGGAUAUGACUCCGCGGCGCAUGUUGUGGGGUGGAAAGCCUUGUGCGGCUGGAGAUGGGCCCGCGGCCUAUCAGCUUGUUGGUGGGGUGAUGGCCUACCAAGGCGACGACGGGUAGCCGGCCUGAGAGGGCGACCGGCCACACUGGGACUGAGACACGGCCCAGACCCCUACGGGAGGCAGCAGUGGGAAUCUUGCGCAAUGGGCGAAAGCCUGACGCAGCGACGCCGCGUGAGGAUGACGG